This 630-nucleotide ribosomal RNA is filed under the name Vibrio sp. RNAcentral describes it as "bacterial SSU rRNA". The record is from RNAcentral. Lineage: Bacteria; Pseudomonadati; Pseudomonadota; Gammaproteobacteria; Vibrionales; Vibrionaceae.
CGAGCGGAAACGACACUAACAAUCCUUCGGGUGCGUUAAUGGGCGUCGAGCGGCGGACGGGUGAGUAAUGCCUAGGAAAUUGCCUUGAUGUGGGGGAUAACCAUUGGAAACGAUGGCUAAUACCGCAUAAUGCCUACGGGCCAAAGAGGGGGACCUUCGGGCCUCUCGCGUCAAGAUAUGCCUAGGUGGGAUUAGCUAGUUGGUGAGGUAAUGGCUCACCAAGGCGACGAUCCCUAGCUGGUCUGAGAGGAUGAUCAGCCACACUGGAACUGAGACACGGUCCAGACUCCUACGGGAGGCAGCAGUGGGGAAUAUUGCACAAUGGGCGAAAGCCUGAUGCAGCCAUGCCGCGUGUAUGAAGAAGGCCUUCGGGUUGUAAAGUACUUUCAGUUGUGAGGAAGGGGGURNNGUUAAUAGCRNYAUCUCUUGACGUUAGCAACAGAAGAAGCACCGGCUAACUCCGUGCCAGCAGCCGCGGUAAUACGGAGGGUGCGAGCGUUAAUCGGAAUUACUGGGCGUAAAGCGCAUGCAGGUGGUUCAUUAAGUCAGAUGUGAAAGCCCGGGGCUCAACCUCGGAACUGCAUUUGAAACUGGUGAACUAGAGUACUGUAGAGGGGGGUAGAAUUUCAG